CCUACGGGAGGCAGCAGUGAGGAAUAUUGGUCAAUGGGCGGGAGCCUGAACCAGCCAAGUCGCGUGAGGGAAGACGGUCCUAUGGAUUGUAAAACUCUUUAGGCGGGGAGCAAUGCCGGGCACGCGUGCCCGGAGGGAGAGUACCCGCAGAAUAAGCAUCGGCUAACUCCGUGCCAGCAGCCGCGGUAAUACGGAGGAUGCGAGCGUUAUCCGGAUUUAUGGGGUUUAAAGGGUGCGUAGGCGGAUUUUUAAGUCAGCGGUAAAAUGUCCGGGCUCAACCCGGGCCGGCCGUUGAAACUGGGGAUCUUGAGUGGGCGAGAAGUAUGCGGAAUGCGUGGUGUAGCGGUGAAAUGCAUAGAUAGCACGCAGAACUCCGAUUGCGAUGGCAGCAUACCGGCGCCCGACUGACGCUGAGGCACGAAAGCGUGGGGAUCGAACAGGAUUAGAUACCCCGGUAGUC
This 460-nucleotide ribosomal RNA is filed under the name uncultured bacterium. Its description in RNAcentral is "partial 16S ribosomal RNA". It matches the Rfam family "Bacterial small subunit ribosomal RNA", at positions 338 to 795 of the family's 1533-position model. The record is from RNAcentral.